This 254-nucleotide ribosomal RNA is filed under the name uncultured bacterium. RNAcentral describes it as "partial 16S ribosomal RNA". It matches the Rfam family "Bacterial small subunit ribosomal RNA", at positions 524 to 776 of the family's 1533-position model. The record is from RNAcentral.
UACGAAGGGGGCUAGCGUUGUUCGGAAUUACUGGGCGUAAAGGGCGCGUAGGCGGUGUGUCAAGUCAGGCGUGAAAGCCCCGGGCUCAACCUGGGAACCGCGCUUGAGACUGGCACGCUAGAGUUCGGGAGAGGAUGGUGGAAUUCCCAGUGUAGAGGUGAAAAUUCGUAGAUAUUGGGAAGAACACCGAUGGCGAAGGCAGCCAUCUGGACCGACACUGACGCUGAGGCGCGAAAGCGUGGGGAGCGAACAGG